RNAcentral lists this long non-coding RNA (290 nucleotides) under Vigna radiata. RNAcentral's name for it is "long non-coding RNA (VRAD_LNC005357)". Lineage: Eukaryota; Viridiplantae; Streptophyta; Magnoliopsida; Fabales; Fabaceae. The record is from RNAcentral.
UCUUGUUUUGAUCAUUUUAUUCNGUGAAUCCAAGUGUUUGAGUCUUUUGCUUGAGAAAUCCAUUUCUGUUAUGUCAAAGUCGUGUUGCUUUGUUUUAAUUGUCAGUUAAAUCUGAGUUUAACUGUGAUUCAAUUGAGUUUAUGGCUUUGAGUAAGAUCUGUACAUCAUCAUAAGCAGUGACAUUCAUGUGAAUGAGCUUGAUGACAUACUUCAAUAGCAGUUUUAAUGUCAUUUCAUUUAUUUGAAGCUGUCUUGAGUUUUGAUGNUGUCCAUUACAUGUAAUUGUGUUG